This is a non-coding RNA of Paramicrosporidium saccamoebae, 72 nucleotides long. The record is from the annotation of a GenBank genome assembly. NCBI's taxonomy places the organism in Eukaryota, Fungi, Rozellomycota.
GAGCUUUUCGUCUAAUGGUUAGGACGCCCAUUUUUCAUAUGGGGAAUGAAAGUUCAAAUCUUUCAAGGCUCA